Molecule: unclassified non-coding RNA, 336 nt
Filed under: Hevea brasiliensis (rubber tree)
Lineage: Eukaryota; Viridiplantae; Streptophyta; Magnoliopsida; Malpighiales; Euphorbiaceae
Source: RNAcentral
GUUAAUUAGUAAUAAACUCAUGCAAAAUACUCUAAUGGAUAACAUUAAAACCCCAAAAAAGAGAGAAAAUCAAGAUAAAAGAAAUUUUAAUUUGUGUCUACGUCCAUGGAGUCAAGAUUUCUGCAAUGAAUUGAAGGAGAAAAUACAGUUGCCUACAAAGUCAAGAUUUUUCUUGUAUAUAGAGGUAUAGGAAAAAACAUGACAAUACAAAAAUGCUUCCCAUAAUUAAUAAUUCCCAAAGCAAACAAAUCUGCCCUAAGCAAAUUGAAUUUAACUCUUAAAAUUCAGUUUCCACAAUCCAACUAUUUUGUUUUAAUAAGUACACAUAUACCUCAG